UUUCAGCGCAUGCGAUGCGCACCACUUGUCAUCAACAUAGUUGCCGAAAAGCAGACAAGGUUGCAUGUACUUCUGGAAGAUUACGUGACCGACAUGCGAGACGCUGACAAUACAUGGUCAAGGGCAAUGCUUGAAUCUGUUGGCAAGCUGCACAGACGUUUAGGCAGAGAUCAGACUGAGGCGCUACAACUCUUUCUGCAUGCCAGAAAUUACAUGGCCUUCGCGGAUGGGCUUCUACAAUAUUAUGACAACAUGUACGACAUGCACCUUGGGAAGUCGAGAGCAGAUGGCCGCGCUUUGCGAAGGAUUGGUGCAGAUGUAGAAGCUGUGCGUCGGAGACAGGGGAAAAUCAAAGAAGUUCACGCAUUUCCCGUGGGAAGGCACUCCGAAAAGCUUGUCACCAAUCCUCACCCUGGCUCAUUGGACAUUCACCGACUAACAAAGGACGUUUUGACGGCCGUGCUCGAUUUUGUAACCAAUCGGACGUCCCCAUGAGAUGCUAAAAGUUAGCGCUAACACGCACCUUCGUAAGCUUCGAACGAACAGACGA
This 550-nucleotide long non-coding RNA is filed under the name Micromonas commoda. Its description in RNAcentral is "long non-coding RNA (MCOM_LNC000057)". Lineage: Eukaryota; Viridiplantae; Chlorophyta; Mamiellophyceae; Mamiellales; Mamiellaceae. The record is from RNAcentral.